This 1039-nucleotide ribosomal RNA is filed under the name seawater metagenome. Its description in RNAcentral is "bacterial SSU rRNA". It matches the Rfam family "Bacterial small subunit ribosomal RNA", at positions 8 to 1035 of the family's 1533-position model. The record is from RNAcentral.
AGAGUUUGAUCCUGGCUCAGAUUGAACGCUGGCGGAAUGCUUUACACAUGCAAGUCGAACGGCAGCAUAGAGAGCUUGCUCUCUGAUGGCGAGUGGCGAACGGGUGAGUAAUAUAUCGGAACGUGCCUAGUAAUGGGGAAUAACUAGCUGAAAGGUUAGCUAAUGCCGCAUACGACCUACGGGUGAAAGCAGGGGAUCUUCGGACCUUGCGUUAUUAGAGCGGCCGAUAUCUGAUUAGCUUGUUGGUGGGGUAAUAGCCUACCAAGGCGACGAUCAGUAGCUGGUCUGAGAGGACGAUCAGCCACACUGGAACUGAGACACGGUCCAGACUCCUACGGGAGGCAGCAGUGGGGAAUUUUGGACAAUGGGGGCAACCCUGAUCCAGCCAUUCCGCGUGAGUGAAGAAGGCCUUCGGGUUGUAAAGCUCUUUCGCAAGAGAAGAAAGCUUGCUAUUUAAUAAAUAGUAAGUAUGACGGUAUCUUGACAAGAAGCACCGGCUAACUAUGUGCCAGCAGCCGCGGUAAUACAUAGGGUGCAAGCGUUAAUCGGAAUUACUGGGCGUAAAGCGUUCGCAGGCGGUCUUAUAAGUCAGAUGUGAAAUCCCCGAGCUCAACUUGGGAACUGCGUUUGAAACUGUAAGACUAGAGUGUGUCAGAGGGGGGUAGAAUUCCAUGUGUAGCAGUGAAAUGCGUAGAUAUGUGGAGGAAUACCAAUGGCGAAGGCAGCCCCCUGGGAUAACACUGACGCUCAUGAACGAAAGCGUGGGGAGCAAACAGGAUUAGAUACCCUGGUAGUCCACGCCCUAAACGAUGUCUACUAGUUGUUGGUGGAGUAAAAUCCAUGAGUAACGCAGCUAACGCGUGAAGUAGACCGCCUGGGGAGUACGGUCGCAAGAUUAAAACUCAAAUGAAUUGACGGGGGCCCGCACAAGCGGUGGAUUAUGUGGAUUAAUUCGAUGCAACGCGAAAAACCUUACCUGGCCUUGACAUGUACCGAAUUUAGCAGAGAUGCUUUAGUGCUCGAAAGAGAACGGUAACAC